AGUAUCUGACUGGGACUUUUUGUGAUUUUACAUCAGGUGCAGCUGCUUUAAGGCAACACAGUUUCUCAUGUCCUUUAUGUCUGGCUGUCCCAUGGUCUGGAGACAUUGUCGGGGGAACAAGCCUGAGCUGGUCUCUGACUUCCUGGAGUUACACUCGAUUUGGGGAGAUGGAUGGAUGGAUGGCAUACAAGGGACCGACCAGAGAGCGUGAUUUAUUUUCACAAAAAGACCAAGCUACAGUGAUGCGAAUACAGUUUGAUGCUGCAGAGUGUGCCUGAAAUCGAAGGCAAGGUGAAUGAGACACUGUCUCCAGAGUGUGGAGUGUACGAAACUCUUCCACACUCGGAUGCCCUCCGUCUUUGUCAUCCUCCAGCAUGCUGGGCUGCGCAGGUGCUCCUGCUGUCUCCGUGGUAUCUCCAGAUGAGGAGACCAGCUCAGAGAGGGGAAGGCAUUCUGUUCUUCUUGAUCCAGCUGAUUUGUGAUUGUAGGUGUGGUUCAUUGGUUCGUCCUGUUUUCUGCUCUGUAGCUGACAUCCGGAGAGCACACUGACAUAGGUGAGAAUAAGCCACUGAUGGAUUUUGAUCAAAAUAUUCUAUAAUAUUUAGUGCUUUCAUUUACUGCAUCUGAAAAUGGAAAUCAACACUUGAAAUUUUGGGGAGUGGGAAGCUUUAUUGGAGUUCCAUCUAUCGAAGAUUACAAAGAGCAGAGCAUGGGACUCAGUGUGUUAUCCCGGAGUGUGUUCUCCUGGAGAGAACACGUCCUGUAACCACCUCCUGGGACACGAAAGAGAAUAUAGCCAACAUUCCUGCCUGCCCCUAGGCUGAGACUCUCCUUUUCUCCUCAAAAAUAACCACUCUGCUGACUGUUUUUUAUUUUUUUUUGUUUUUGUUUUUGUCUCAGC
RNAcentral lists this long non-coding RNA (901 nucleotides) under Vulpes vulpes (red fox). RNAcentral describes it as "lncRNA (ENSVVUG00000012542.1)". The record is from RNAcentral. Lineage: Eukaryota; Metazoa; Chordata; Mammalia; Carnivora; Canidae.